RNAcentral lists this transfer RNA (69 nucleotides) under Cavia porcellus (domestic guinea pig). It matches the Rfam family "tRNA". Rfam says of the family: Transfer RNA (tRNA) molecules are approximately 80 nucleotides in length. Their secondary structure includes four short double-helical elements and three loops (D, anti-codon, and T loops). The record is from Rfam by way of RNAcentral. Lineage: Eukaryota; Metazoa; Chordata; Mammalia; Rodentia; Caviidae.
GGGGAUAUAGCUCAGCAGCACAGCGCCUGCCUGGCAAGCACUAGGUCCUGAGUUCGAUUCCCAGUACCA